AGGACGGGUCGUGUGUCAGUAUAUUUACUUCUUAGCUAUAUUGCACACUUCCCGGCCUUU
This 60-nucleotide microRNA precursor is filed under the name Drosophila simulans. Its description in RNAcentral is "Dsi-Mir-92-P5_pre stem-loop". It matches the Rfam family "mir-310 microRNA precursor family", at positions 9 to 67 of the family's 74-position model. Lineage: Eukaryota; Metazoa; Arthropoda; Insecta; Diptera; Drosophilidae. The record is from RNAcentral.